RNAcentral lists this ribosomal RNA (508 nucleotides) under uncultured bacterium. RNAcentral describes it as "bacterial SSU rRNA". It matches the Rfam family "Bacterial small subunit ribosomal RNA", at positions 28 to 535 of the family's 1533-position model. The record is from RNAcentral.
GAUGAACGCUAGCGGCAGGCUUAACACAUGCAAGUCGAGGGGCAGCACGUCUUCGGAUGGUGGCGACCGGCGCACGGGUGAGUAACGCGUAUGCAAUCUACCUUUUACAGGGGCAUAGCCCGGGGAAACCCGGAUUAAUAUCCUAUAGUACCAUUAUAUAGCAUUAUAUUAUGGUUAAAGUUUCGGCGGUAAAAGAUGAGCAUGCGUCCUAUUAGCUUGAUGGUAAGGUAACGGCUUACCAUGGCUAUGAUAGGUAGGGGUCCUGAGAGGGAGACCCCCCACACUGGUACUGAGACACGGACCAGACUCCUACGGGAGGCAGCAGUGAGGAAUAUUGGACAAUGGGCGCAAGCCUGAUCCAGCCAUGCCGCGUGCAGGAAGACGGCCCUAUGGGUUGUAAACUGCUUUUAUACGGGAAGAAACACCCCUUCGUGAAGGGACUUGACGGUACCGUAUGAAUAAGGAUCGGCUAACUCCGUGCCAGCAACCGCGGUAAUACGGAGGAUCC